This is a long non-coding RNA of Pecten maximus, 502 nucleotides long. RefSeq lists it as uncharacterized. NCBI's taxonomy places the organism in Eukaryota, Metazoa, Mollusca, Bivalvia, Pectinida, Pectinidae. The transcript has 4 exons. The record is from RefSeq and is a predicted model, not a curated record.
GUCAACUGGAACACUACCAGAAUGGAGUAACAGCAACGGCCGUGAUCACAUUAAAAAUACCUUUAAAAACGGAGGAAUUCAACAUCGUAAAUAAUUCGUCAUCAAAAGCUGCUAGUCCGACAAUAACGAACUUGCUUCAUGCCAUUUCUGCUCUGGAGAAUUCGACAAAACAACUGAAUACCAGUACCGACAUCUUGAGGAUUGUGAUCGAUGGUCAGGAAUAUAAUGCUCUCAGCGUUGAAUCAUACGGAAAAGUUGAUUGUCCUGACGGACAAAUUCAGUUACAGGCAUUGUGCACUAAUUGUCCGGAAGGUACUUAUAAUCAGAACGGCAGUGAAUGUUUCCCGUGUCCGUAUGGGACAUACCAAGAUACACCUGGAUCUACUUCCUGUAAGGAAUGUCCUGAUGGUUUUUUGACUCGGUUUCUAGAGUCCACUGACAUAACCGAAUGCUCCGUGCCAUCUACAGUUCUUACCAAAGAAACAGCAGCUGUUUCUAAAGA